UUCUUGAGGGCUCACUUUGUGGAGCAUGAGACUCUUGAUCUCAGAGUUGUGAGUUCAAGCCCCACUUUGGACA
RNAcentral lists this transfer RNA (73 nucleotides) under Canis lupus familiaris (dog). It matches the Rfam family "tRNA". Rfam says of the family: Transfer RNA (tRNA) molecules are approximately 80 nucleotides in length. Their secondary structure includes four short double-helical elements and three loops (D, anti-codon, and T loops). Lineage: Eukaryota; Metazoa; Chordata; Mammalia; Carnivora; Canidae. RNAcentral also lists the same sequence under 1 other name. The record is from Rfam by way of RNAcentral.